ACCUUGAACUUGAUAGGGUCAUUCUCCACGAGCACAUGCCCCCGACUCGGGGGCAGGGGAAUGUAAGCCUGAGCAUUCACACUUUACUAGAUCUCCUCUACUGGCUUUAUAGGGCACUACCACGUGUCUCCCUGGCUCACCUUGCUCCCCUCUUCCUGCAAGGCAGGGGGAGAACGUUCACCCUUGAACAAACCAAGAGCAUCCUCAGCCAGUCAGGCGGCUGGUAGCUGGAUACAUAUGCUAACAGGCAAUCAGGAAGUCACUCUCCAACGUAAACUUCAGCCACCUGCAGGGAGAAACACAGCAGCUGAGUGGCCAUUCCCUGAAGGAAACAAAUGCAAGACGACUCCUUUACUCUCAAGCCAAUAAAGAAGGCUGAGGCUCAGAACAAUCGAAUGGCUUGCGCAAGGUAAGUGGCCUCCAGAACCAAACCUCAGGCUGUCUGACUCCAGGGUUCAUGUUCUUCCCACAACAUCACAAUGCCGCUCUCAACGCAGGAGCAAAACCACACAAACUGCCUACUGCAGACCGGAAGACCCUAGUUUGAAGCCUCCAUUAGCGUGACUAUGCAGCUAGACCAACUUACUGUUAAGCAACAGUACCUUUUACUAUGAGGUACCCUUUACUAUUAAGUACUUUUUACUAACAGUAUCUUCUGUUACCUACUAUUAAGUUCCUGCUAUACUUCUUCAAUCUGAAAGUUUUCUGUUAAAACAAAAUGUUAACAUCGUUCUAAAUUAAUAUUGAGACCUUAGAAAUUUUUCCUGUACAAGAUAACACAAUUAUAUGCCCCUUCCCUUCCAUGGCUUGUUAGCUGGUAGAUGAGGGGCUUCUCCUAGAUUAAUUUAACAUCUCAGUUAAUCAAAAGUAGCCAGGCAUGGUGACUCAUGCCUGUAAUCCCAGCCCUUUGGGAGGCAGAGGCGGGUGGAUCGCUUGAGGUCAGGAGUUCAAGACCAGCCUGGCCAGCACGGUGAAACCCCAUCUCUACUAAAAAAUACAAAAAUUAGCUGGGUGUGGUGGUGCACACCUGUAAUCCCAGCUACUCAGGAGGCUGAGGCAGGAGAAUCACUUGAACCCAGGAGGCGGAGUUUGCAGUGAGCCAUUGCACUCCAGCCUGGGCAACAGAGAAAGAGUCCGUCAAAAAAAAAAAAAAAAAAAGGAAAUUUAUGAACUCCAGAGUACCCAUUUACUGCCAAACCAACUGAGGGGAGAGAAAACUGAGGGAGAAAGUGGGGUGGGAUCUCAAAGGGCUUGCCCUGUGCUUUGCUAUAAAUUAUUCAAAGAGGCAAAUUCUAAGGGAUCUCUAAGUAGUUGCUGAUUUUGUAAAGGUAGCCCAUAAAUCUGUUUACGUGUAGCUGCCUUAAACGUGAGUCAACAGGGUAAAUCACACCAACAGGAAACCCAAGCACUGAAAAAGCCAACUAUCUUUUCUGUUUAACAAAUACUAAGAAUAAUAAUCUAAUAAUCUGGCUAUAUCUUUCAUAAAGACCUCCAUCUUCUCUCCUUAGCUGACUGUUGAGAUUUGAUACUUUUCAGAGUCUAAUGAUAAAAUGCUUUCAAAAUGGUUCAUCUAAUGCAAUUAACAAUUCUUUUACUAUAUCCAAUGUGUUACCCUUACGAUAUUUCCUAUUGCUAAUAGAUUAGCCCACUAUUGAAAAAAUUCUGCAGUUGUGACUGUGUUCAUAUGAAAGCAUAUACAAGAUAUAGAGAGACAGCAAAAAAUGGUGGGAAUGGAUGUGUGUAUGAGGGUUUCAGAUAAGAACUUCCAUUAUAUAAUUCAAGAGUAAGUCUAUAAUUUAAGCAGAAAUAAUUUAGAUACUCAUCAAAUUAAGUAAGCGGAAAAAUUUCCUCUCUCUCAUACUAGGUUGCCAUCAUCACAUGUAUCGUUGGAGGGUUGCUGAGCUUGAUAAGCCUUUGAACCAUUUUAUUUGACUUUCCACAUGCCGUCUCGUUGGUAGGGAGAUGGUGAAAUGCCUUGGGUGGUGUAGGAUGAGGAAGGUUUUCACUCUGAAGCUAUGAAGACUUGGAGAAAGGGGCUUAUAGAAGCACUAUGAAAAUAAACUGGAGACUAUUUUUUUUGCUACUUCUUAAAAAGCUUUUUCUUUAGAGAGUAAUAAAGCCAUUCUAUAUCUGUCGUAUACAUGAAUUCAUACUAUUACAGAGUUGAAAAUGCAGGCUAUAUAUAUAUAUAUAUAUAUAUAUAUAUAUCUGUGUUGUCAUGCACAUGUCAACACUGUCUUGAUGACAAAAUUUUAUUUAUCCCCCCAGAUAAAAAUUUUAAGAAAUUUUAAAUGCUUUUUAUUCACAAACACUUUUCAAAAGGGAUAAAAGUUAAUCAUGUUAAAAUAUUCAGUCUAUGGCAGAUGUCACUCCUUCGGGCCCUCACUGCUGAAUUGCUUACAGUUUCUGAGCUGUAAACUAACAUUUGCUUUACUAUGUAGUUACAAAGAAAUGUGUACCUUAUUUGUGAAAUAUUCAAAUAAAGCUCAUCUGGGAUUUAUAA
Molecule: long non-coding RNA, 2503 nt
Organism: Symphalangus syndactylus (siamang)
Lineage: Eukaryota; Metazoa; Chordata; Mammalia; Primates; Hylobatidae
Source: RefSeq, a predicted model, not a curated record